CACGCCCGUCACACCAUGGGAAUCGGAUCUACCCGAAGGUGGUGCGCCAACCUGGCAACAGGAGGCAGCCAACCACGGUAGGUUCAGUGACUGGGGUG
This 98-nucleotide ribosomal RNA is filed under the name uncultured bacterium. Its description in RNAcentral is "partial 16S ribosomal RNA". It matches the Rfam family "Bacterial small subunit ribosomal RNA", at positions 1391 to 1482 of the family's 1533-position model. The record is from RNAcentral.